This 842-nucleotide ribosomal RNA is filed under the name uncultured Chloroflexota bacterium. Its description in RNAcentral is "bacterial SSU rRNA". It matches the Rfam family "Bacterial small subunit ribosomal RNA", at positions 28 to 895 of the family's 1533-position model. Lineage: Bacteria; Bacillati; Chloroflexota. The record is from RNAcentral.
GAUAAACACUUGCGGUGUGCCUUAUGCAUGCAAGUCGAACGGUCUUGAUUUAUCAAGAUAGUGGCGAACGGGUGAGUAACGCGUAAGUAACCUGCCCUCAAGUAGGGGAUAACUCUGAGAAAUUAGAGCUAAUACCGUAGUGGUGGUAGGGGUAAUGCCCUAUUACUAAAGCCUUAGGGUGCUUGGGGAGGGGCUUGCGUCCGAUUAGCUAGUUGGUAGGGUAACGGCUUACCAAGGCGAUGAUCGGUAGCUGGUUUGAGAGGACGGCCAGCCACACUGGGACUGAGACACGGCCCAGACUCCUACGGGAGGCAGCAGCAAGGAAUAUUGUGCAAUGGGCGAAAGCCUGACACAGCGACACCGCGUGGGGGAUGAAGGCCUUCGGGUUGUAAACCCCUUUUCUCAGGGAAGAAUAAUGACGGUACCUGAGGAAUAAGUCUCGGCUAACUACGUGCCAGCAGCCGCGGUAAGACGUAGGAGGCGAGUGUUAUCCGGAUUUACUGGGCGUAAAGAGGGCGUAGGCGGCUUUUCAAGUCGGAUGUAAAAUCUCCUGGCUUAACUAGGAGGGGUCAUUCGAUACUGUUAGGCUAGAGGGCAGCAGAGGGAGGUGGAAUUCCCGGUGUAGUGGUGAAAUGCGUAGAUAUCGGGAGGAACACCAGUGGCUAAAGCGGCCUCCAAGGCUGUUUCUGACGCUGAGGCCCGAAGGCGUGGGGAGCGAACAGGAUUAGAUACUCUGGUAGUCCACGCUGUAAACGAUGGAUACUAGGUAUGGGGGGUAUUGACCCCCUCCGUGCCGAAGCUAACGCGUUAAGUAUCCCGCCUGGGGACACGGCCGCAAGGCU